AGGAGCCACAAGGCAGGCCAUGGUUUCAUCGAACAGCCGGGAGUGGAGCGGGAUAGCGGCGCUCACUUCAGUGAGCCCAGCUUGAACCCCACCAUUGGCGUCCUGGGCACCACUCUGAAUAAGCUGCUUCAGUUGUGACUUGUAGCACAAAGUUUCUGUCACGCAGUUCGUCGUCAUCUCUGAACCAAAGCAUUGGUCCUGCCUGCUAGUCACCACUUGAAUAAAAGUUGGAAUGGUGCAGUGUGUUUGUGUAAAUAAACUGUUGAAGUUUUGACAG
RNAcentral lists this long non-coding RNA (277 nucleotides) under Ixodes scapularis (black-legged tick). RNAcentral describes it as "uncharacterized LOC115315003". The record is from RNAcentral. Lineage: Eukaryota; Metazoa; Arthropoda; Arachnida; Ixodida; Ixodidae.